This 1909-nucleotide long non-coding RNA is filed under the name Monodelphis domestica (gray short-tailed opossum). Its description in RNAcentral is "lncRNA (ENSMODG00000050109.1)". The record is from RNAcentral. Lineage: Eukaryota; Metazoa; Chordata; Mammalia; Didelphimorphia; Didelphidae.
CCUGCCUCAAAUACCUACUACCUAUGUGACCUUGGACAACUCAAGUCAUUUAAUCUGCUUGUCUUCAAUUUCCUCAAAUGUAAAAUGGAGAUAAUAAUAGCAUCUGUCUUCCAGGGUUGUUGUGAGGAUCACAUGAGAUAAUAUUUCUAAAACCCUUAGCAGAGUGCCUGGAUCAUAGUAGUUGCUAUAUAAAUGUAAUUUAUAGUCCCACUGAGGACAAGAGUUAAUUCUGUUAUUCAGUAUGUAUGUUGCUGUCACCACUGCUGGAGAGUGUAGAUCUUUUUUUUUUUAACCAUCACCUUCCGUCUUAGAAUCAAUACUGUGUACUGGUUCCAAGGUAGAAAAGUGAUAAAGGCUAGGCAAUGGAGUUUAAAUGAUUUGACCAGGGUCACACAGCUAGGAAACAUCUGGGGUCAGAUUUGAACCCAGGACUUCCCAUCUCCAGGCCUGACUCUCAAUCCACUGAGCCACCUGCUGCCUCCAGCUGCCCCCAACAAUGCAGAUCUUUGUGAAGAUUUAACUGGUAAGAGCAUCACCCUUGGAAUGGAGCCAGUAAUACAAUGAGAAAGUCAAUUCUGAAAUCCAAGACCAGGAAGGCAUUCCCCCAGACAAACAGAGAUUGAUCUUUGCUGGGAAGCAGCUAGAAAAUGGGCAAACUUUAUCUGACCACAAUAUCCAGAAUGAAUCCAUCCUGCACUUCAAGGUCCUUUGCCUCAUGAGUAGGCUGCAAGCUUUCUGAAGACGUGGACUGGCAAGACCAUCAUCCUUGAAGUAAAACCAUUGUGAAUGUCAAAGCAAAGAUCCAAGACAAAGAAGGCAUCCCCCCAUCAGCAGUGGUUGCUCUUUACCAGAAAGCAACUAGAAGAUAGGUCCAGAGCUCUCUCCACUGAACCACCUAGCCUCUUGUAGCAGAUUCAAUAAGGGCUUCUUAACAUCUCUCAGAAAACAUCACGGGAACUCCAGGCACCAUCAUGCCUUGAACUUAAACAUGAUGUAAGUAAAAAACAUGUUCCUUUACAUUAUUUUUGGCAAGGUGGGGCCUAGAUUUGCCUUGCUUUUCUUACCUCUGACUCUUUUUUUUCUGGCUUUGACUUUCAUUUUCUGAACUGGUAAUUGAAGCUAACUAAAGAAAGCACACGCAGUUCAGCAUUUCACUUCCAGAUUCCUUCUGGGACUCCCCAGAAUGCUGUUUCAUCUAAAAGGGCAAAAAUGCUGUGGAGGAUUACCCAGAGUGCUACUUACUCUGAAAGGGUAAGGAUAUCGGAGAAAAAAUAGCCUGAGCUUUGAAUGGAGGAGUGGUGUCCAUUUAUGCUUCAGGGGCUUCUGGUCAUUAAAUUCCUGUCAGAAGCAUCUGGAACUCACCAUUUGAAGUGAUCUUUCCAUCUCAGCAGGCUUCUGAAGAAUGGAGCAAAGAAAGAUACUUGAGAACAAAUGACCUCAGUCAAGUUGGAUAGACAGGAAUUCCCACAGCAGAUCUAAGUGUUUCUGGAAGCUUUAAAGAAAAAAAAAAUCAAGAGAGAGCUUCUUGUUCUGGUGGAGAUAGAGAAUAUUAGAAGAGUCUAACAAGAUAUUCCCUGGUCACAGUGCCAGGCAGAUGAGUUGUGUGUGUGUGUGUGUGUGUGUGUGUGUGUGUGUGUGUGAUAAUACAAGAUGAUUCUUGCAACUGAUGAAACUGAUUCUUUUGGGCAAUUAGAGAGGCAGUUGGUUAGUACAGCGGAUAAAGUGCUGUGCCUGGAAUCAAGGAGUUAGUGUUGUUCAGUCAUUUUUCAGUUGCAUCAGGCAUGACCCCAUUUGGGGUUUUUCUUGGCAAAGAUGCUGGAAUAGUUUGCCAUUUCCUUCUCUGGCUCAUUUUACAGAUGAGGAAACUGAGGCUAAUAGGGUUAAAUAACUUGUCCAUAUAGCUAGUAAG